Molecule: long non-coding RNA, 23724 nt
Filed under: Daucus carota (carrot)
Lineage: Eukaryota; Viridiplantae; Streptophyta; Magnoliopsida; Apiales; Apiaceae
Description: long non-coding RNA (DCAR_LNC003053)
Source: RNAcentral
GUAUUCAGCUUAAGCCUAAACGAACGAGCCGCCAACUUAACCCGCCGAGAAGAGUAUCUCUGCAGCUUCCUUAUAGACCCUGAUCUCGAUAUUCCGAUAUCAUGUUGCUUAUCUAAACCACCGCCCUUCUUUUUCGUCUUUACGAUCCCGUCAGAAACCGAAUUUUCGUUAACCUUCUCGUCCACUUCAAUCGACAAAAGAGGAGAUAUGCGAGACCUACUGGCUUUACUACUCGAAAGAGCGGCGCUUGCUUUAAUCGCAAGUGCGGCCAUUUCUGAUGCGGUCAAAGGAUAUAGAAGUUUCGAGUUCGGCAAUACAAAAUAAAUCUCGCCAGGCUGUAAUUCUUGAUCCGAUUUCAAAGCGGGGAUGGCUUCGUCGUAGUACAAACUAUCCGAAUUACAUACAAAUGAUUCGGAAGGCGAGGACUCGAGUUGCUCGAGGACUUGAGAGACAGAAAUUGGUGUAACGAAUUGUCGAAACUCUCCUUUAACGGUGACGAUGUUUGCUGUUGAUGCUGCAGAUAUUUUGUUAUCGUUCAUGUCGGGACUGAUCAUAACAGAGAAACAUACACCCAUAUCGCUUCCGUGAAAUGCUUGUGAUUUUGUUGUUGAUGGAGAUGAUAUUCUAGUUGGGAGAGAUGGAGAUGUGUAAAGCUAAGUUAGCGUGUGAGGAAAUACAAGGUGAUAGUGUUAAUGGGAUGAAAUGCGAGGCUUUGCAUGUUCUUAUAGACGUCUCGGCGAAUGAAAAACAAGAGAAAUUUCUAAAGUGGUCCCUUGUGAAAAGUGCCCUUGUGAAAAGUAUACCGUGAUAGCUAUUUUUGACCGAGUUUUAUUUUUAAGAUUGGAAAAACAAAGCUUAUUAGAAUGUGAAAGAAUGUUGCUUAAAAUAAAUAUCCAUAACACGUAACUAAAUGAGUGAUUACAAUCGUUGUUACUGAGGAAUCAAACUUCAGAUUUUCUUCUUUUUUUGGAGUAAAAUUUAAAAAUUAGUAUAUCAUUUAACAAAUUAAUAAUCUGCGAAAGGGGAGUUUGUGAUAUUAUUAUAAAGAGAUAUAUAAGUAACAACACAUUAAAAUAAUGGGUUUGUAUUUAUUUUUUUUUUUGAUAAAUAUGAUUUCCAAACCUGGAACGACAGAGGGUAAACUCUUAACCUAACUAUCCAACCGUGCUCAACACUAUGUUUGUAUCAGUGAGAUUAAAAAACAAUUAAGCGCACUACUAUACUAACACAAAUAUAUUAAGAAAAACAAAGUUAACGGUUUAGCUUUAAUAUAAAGUGAAGCCCAGCCCACAGACACGAGUGCGGCGUGAAACCACUCAAGGCGAUGAUUGACUAGUAGGGUUUGCGUGUUUCUUUAGAAUAAAGUUAUUGACAUACUGCUGUAGACUAAUAUUCAUGGAUUAAUAUUCGUUAAGCCAUGACGCGUUAUUGCAUAAGCAGGCUCUAUUGCUUAUCCUAUAAACUCACGGCCUGUGUUACAAAACCCGUGAAUGCGUGACUAGUGCCUCAAAUCUUGGUUCUGACUUUUAACCUUAUUGUCAAGUUGUCGCUGACUCAUCUAACAUCCCCGUUUUUAUAAUUUUAUGUUCAUGGCCGGUGUUUAUCUAAACGGCCUCCUGUAAUCCACAUACACACACGAUAAGAAGAAUCUAUAAAUAUUUUACCAAGUCCAAACAUACGAAUCUGAAUUAACAGGAACGGUUUUGUCAACUCUUGCUUCAUUACUAGCUACCACUUUUCAAAUAAUAAUUAAUGCAGUAUUGCACAUGGAUGAAAUUUGUACACAUAUCUAAAUAAAAUGAGUUUAGAGACUUGCAUGCAUGUUAGAUAGUUCUAGCACAUUCCAAUUCCAAUCGACAUAAAGUAUAUUGAAUUUGAGUAGUUUAGAUUUUCCGUCUUGCCAAGAUAUUAAUCCAUCAAAAAAUAUUUUAAAAAUUGUUAUCAGAAUCGUAUUAUAUUCACAAUUUCUACUCAUUUAUGAAAUAAAUAAAUAAAAUCUGUAUGUCCACUGUUGAGUUCAUCAUGUUACAAAUAUUUCGUCAACAUUGCAAAUUAAAAUUACUAACAAGAUGUCAACUCUUGCUUUAUUACUAGCUACACACUCUUCAAAGAAACAUUAGUGCAGUAUUACACACGAUUGAAAUUUGUACACACACAUCUACAUUAGAUUUAGUUGAUAGACAAUUGCAUGCUUGUUAGAGAGUUCUCGCACUAAUCUACGGCCCUUCUACAAUCUACGCCCCUACUAAUUAUAUUAUUAGUUGGAAAUUUUCAGUCUUUCCAAAAUCUUAAACCAUCAAAAAACAUUAAAAAUAAUUAUUAAGAUCAUAUUAUAUUUAACAUUUUCCCUCACUUAUGUCAAUAUAUUCAAUUUAUGAAUGAAGAAAAAAAAGAUCUAUUUAUGAAUUUGGUCCAUUAUAGACUUCAUCAUAUUACAAUAAUUCAAUCAAAUCCAUGUUGCUACUUGCUAUGACUAAACACAAACAUGAUUUGAUAAAGUUCUUAAUAUUCAAUUAUUUAUAUAUUCUUUUUUCACAACAUUGUCACCUCGUUGUUGUCCGGUAGGAUGGAUGAUUUAUUAAUAAGAUUUCCCAUUAAGUAUGCUACUUUGAUCUUUUUGUUACCGUGACGUGAUUUCAGGCAAGGUGUUCUUUAGUUGGGGCAAGUAGAUGGCUUGAUUGGGCUUAGAGUAAUGGGUCGAUCCAUAUAUGAUACUAUCUUUGGGGCUUGAGUCAUUGAGAGUAUUGGACACUCGUAUAUACUUGAUCUUUUAGUCUUUAUUUAUUUUAGACUAAAUUUCACUGUGGCCUCAUUUUAUUUUAUUUUUGUAAAUACAUAUUUUAAAAAACUUACAGUUGUAACAAUACUAAUAAAAUUAGAUUAAUAGUCUCCCCAUUAUUUUUAAUCUUAUACUCCAUCUGUCCCUCUCAUUUCUUUACGGUUACUAUUUUGGGAUGUCCCUCUCAUUUCUUUACGUUACCGUAAAUAGUAAGUUUUUCACAUCAUUACACCCACUAUCUUCUUCUACUAUCUCAUAUUUAACAAUAAAAACCACUAUUACACCCACUACUUUCCUCCACUAUCUCAAAUCUAUUAUUAAAUAUUGAUAAAUCCCACCACUUUACUCAUUUUUCAUCUAAUUUUACUCAUUUUUCAUACAUUGUCUUGGUCUCCGUAUCCCCCUCCAGUGUAAACAAUUGAGGGGGACGGAGAGAGUACAUUAUAUACUCAAGGCCACUCAAGAGUAACUUAAACAUGGUUAUUUGUGUAUGUAUGGAUACAAACUAAAAAAUCCUCACUUUAAUUUUAAAAAACGAAUAUAUGCCAUCUCGAAAAUUCUUUCUUGUCUAGACCAAAUAUUUAUUCUACCAAAAUAAGAAAAGGAUAGGAACAUAUUUAUUCUGCCCCAGGUUAUUAUGCUUUGAAAAUAAGAACAAAAGGGGCGAAAACAAGGAAGAAAACACACGGAACAAUCAACAAAGUAGGCGAGUUCUGGUAAGUGGUAGCUCAUGAGUCAACACGGCCUGUGACAAAGCCUUGAAAAUCCGUGGCAGAACAGCAGAACAGCACCUGUAGCUUCAUAUUCGUGGCAUAUUUCAACAACGCCACGUUUACAAUCAUGAUCCACAAAGUUAGCUCCCUGUCUCCAGUCUUAUCCUAUGGAGUAAUAUAUUUCUCGAUAAUAUAUAUUUAUAUUUAUAAUUAUUUGUGUACUAUAUUCUGUUGCACGUACGUGCCUGCUGAGUCAAUAUAACACGGCCGUUAUUGACUCAUAAUUUAUAUAUUAAUAAUAUAUUACUCUGUUUGUAAACAUGAGUCACUGACUUGUGGCUACCAAUUUUCUUUUUAAAGUGGAUAUAAUGUUCCUUUGAAGUGGAUAAAAUUUACAGCUUCACUUGUAGUAUAGCUGUGCUUCAUGUUUAAAGGAACAGAGUCGAUCGUUAUUAUCUAAUUCGUCAAAUAAUUUCAAAUAUUCAAUUAAUUAUUUUACUAAUUAAAUUGAUUUUCAAUUAAUUCUUAUUCAAAUUAAUCUUGUAUCAUUAUCGAUUAAAUUUGGGGCCAAUUAACAUGUCCACUCCACAUUUCUCAUAAAAACAAGAGAAACUAAUUUUACACAUGGCAACAAGGUUAUCCAAAAAAUACACAUCACAGAUACAAUAAACUUGUUGUAUAACAUGCAUUUAAAUAUACGUAUAAAACACGUUUAUUCCUACUUUCGAGUACAUCUAAUUAUACAAGAAUAUUUAGCAAAAAAAAAAAAUUAUACAAGAAUAUACACCAUCUUCACUAUUAAUGUGCUACCUCCGCUCGUUUCUACUUUCUGUGAACCAGAGUAUAUACAAUGCUUGCUUCUACCUUUGCCAAACGUCGCACAAGAUACUAUCACAUUACACAUACAUUACAUAUUUUGUUUUCUAUAUACACUAAUACACACUCUGUACUUCUACAUUUCACUAUGUAUACAUUUUUUUCAUUAUUAACUUUUUCGCCAUCAGUUACUCUUAUUCAUCUAACAUUUUGUUCUGUUUCUAACCUUGCUUCCUUGUUCAGCGUUUAGGCCACUAGCUGACUAGCUCCGGAAUGUGCAUUGCAAGACGUGAUUAAAAAGGAGCCCGAUGCGGAAUUCCCUUCCUUCUGCUGGGAUUCCGAUGAUUGAAGAUUGGGGGAGUGCCCGGGGAAAUACUUCGAUGAUACUGCUCCUCGUCUCCCGAUGUAGAGCCAGAAUACUUGUCAUAACCACCAUAACAGAAGCGCGGAGAGUCAUUUGAAAACAACGAGACUUCGUUGAAACGAUUGAAGACAUGGUUCUUCUGAAUCUUCUUGGGCGUGGAGGGUUCAUCAAACUCUGAUCCAUAAUAUCCAUGAUAGUCUUUCACCUUCAACGUGAAUGUGAGCUCAUGAUCACCCCGCAUUAUACCCCCAAGCUGUUAUUAGAUCGACGACAGCAAUCAACAUAAUCAAAAUCCAUAUGGCAGCUACUAUAAUUCAAACAAAAAUAUAUCUUCUUACAUGUAAUUCAAUAGAUGAACAAUAAGUCACUCAAUCAAAUGCGGAACAUAUUUAUGCAAUGAAAAGCAAAAUCACUAAAACAGAACAGAAAUACAAAUCCAACCACCAAAGCUACAGCAAUCCUAAUUUUAUUUCAUUACAUAUCAUAACAAUCAAAUUUCACGAAUUUUUACUGGCAUAGGAAAAAAAUUGCGCAGAAAGAUAUUAACCUUGCAGCCGAGAGAACAGAACCUAAAAGUGUCAAGAAGGCUCCGAGCACAAAUUUCACAAGUAUUGGUAACACCUUUUCCAGGCCUGGGCUGCGGACGCUCAUUCAGGAACACAAUCUUGGCGCUGUUGAUGAUAUAUGUUUGGACACAAGUGAUGUCUAUGUACUUCUGUAUCUCACUUGCCCUCACCACAUUAUGGUACGAAGAUCUCCGUAUCUACAACACACAAAAAAUCUCAGAUAACUAGUUUUAUCAAUCAAUUUGAUUGAAGAAAAGACCUCCAAACUGACCUGAAUAACACGGUGAUCUUUGUGAUUAAUCAAACAGUAAGAACAAAGAGCAUUUCCCAUGCAAUCCAAACAGUACAUAUUGCAUUCACAUUUGCUGGAAGCUCCAUGAAAUUGGCAGGGCACAAAGUAAUCAGCUUUCAGCAAUGGAAUCAACCAUGGGGGACUUAUAAUAUCUUUAUAUUCCAUUCCACUAGCUAAACUCACCUAGAACAUAAUCCAUAUAAUCACCACAUAAAUAUAAGAAAUUUCAACUUCUUGAAAACCAAUAAAAAUCUAGAAAAUAUAAAAAAAAAACAGGGGAAAAGCAUAAGUUUCUUAUGUAGAACCUCAAUCAAACGCUGUAGAUAUUAGAAAAAUAGAAUGAAUUAAACCAUUUAUAGAGAAUUCAAACAAGAAACAAGACUGCAAAUCGAAGAAGAUGAAAUAAAAAUCUAACCUUUGAAAUUAGUGUUGUAUGCACCUUGAAUGAACACAAAAGCGUCACGUAUACUGAGCAGACUUGUCACUUAUCUUUUGCUCUGUUUUUGGGGUGUUUUUUUUUGUGUUUAUAUGAUCAUAAAAUGAGAGAAAGAGAGAAAGACAGAGGGUGUAGUUAGAAGAGGUAAAGACUAAAGACUAAUAUAUUUUAAUCAAUAUAUUUAUUAAACCAAGAUGAAAAGGAUUGAAACAAAUAUAGAAAAGUAUAUACUAGAAACAUUAUAAUUCGGUCGACAGGAACCAAUAUAAUAGUAUAAGAUUAAACUAUCUAAAACUGAAUUAUUGGGGCAUUAGAGGAGUGAUUUGUUGGCAACACUCCUAGUAGAUAAGAUAAAGAUGUGAAAAUUAAAUAAUAAACGACGUGCACUGUGAUUAAUGAGGUGAAUUUUGGGACGGACGAGCGGAUAUGCAUGAACUGAAAUUCUGGACCCCACCUGCAUUUUGGCUUCAUGUGUGACCAGAGCUCAAAUUUGUUACGCCAAAUUUUUUAUCAGUGGUCACAUUCAUGUCCUAACAUGUGUUCCACCGUAAGGCUCACAGCCCAGAAAGUUAGGCCCGUUCAGUUAUGCAAAGUUUGGCCCAAACUGAUAUCCAUAUUUCAAAAACAAAAAUAGAAUGAGCAAACAGCAGAACAUACAAAAUAGAGGCACCAGAAGUUUUGAAAUGCUGCCAACAUGUUCAAGAAACAUUAACCAGCAUAGCUGUGCUUUAAAUAUAUAUAUAUAUAUAGCAGAUAUUGAAAAUUAUUAAAAUCCUAUUGUUCAAAUAGCCUAUUAGAUAACAUUUAUAUAAUCUAUAUGUAAAAACUGACGGAAGGAAAAUCACAUAAAAUGCCCAAAUGAGUCCAUGAAAACAGUUGCAACUUUCAAUGUGAAAUGCUGGGAAAAUAUGCAAAGGAAUUCCAUUGCCAAGUUUUCCCGGUUGUCAAAGAUUGUCAAAUAGGUUGCCACUGGUCGCCGGGAAAUCUGUCACCUCUGGUUACAGGUUUCGCCUUGCGCUGAGUACUACCAUUAGCCACCAGGAACAUGAAAAGAACAAUCAGGAUUGCAAGUAUCCACCACAUCAAUUGUUUACAGUAGUGUCUCUUCCCCCUGUUGCGAAGAGCUGGGGGAAUAGCAGCAGGUUUUGGUUUGCUGUACUUGUUAACUUGGGAAGAUUUCUUAGGCUGUGUCCCGGGACUGUCUGUCCUCUCUUCCUUAAUAGACUCUGUCUGGACUUCAAGACCAGUUUCUCCAUCGGUGUUUUUCUUUUCCUUUUUUCUUUGGCGCUUCUCUUUAUCCUACAUACAAAGCAGUUACUAUUAUAUCAAGACAAGAGUGCAAUGCAAACCAAAAAAUUUACAGAAGACAGUAAUAUGUAUCCGAAGGAUGGAUGUAAAUGAAAGCAAAGUUGAAAUGGAACGGCGAUUACCUUUUCUUUCUGUUCUGCUUCCUUUUGAGCCCGUAACAUGGCCCUCAUCUGGGCUUUCUCUGCAUUUCUCUUUUUCCGCUCGAGUGCCUCCUGAGCUUUCGCUCUCUCCUCCUGUCGAAUUUUCUCUUUCAACUUCGCAGCGAUCUCUUCUUCUCUCACCAUCUCAGCUUUCCUUGCCAAUUCCAGCUCUUCCUCGGUUUGCUGUUUCACUUCCUCCUUUGUCUUAACAUCUUCCAGGUAGUCAGAAACAAUAUUUAACACACUCCCAGACCCAGAAAUAGGUUUGACAGAUGUUUUGUCUUUUAAAAUCUUGUUUUUAGGUUCUGCCACAACCCUGGCCUUCCCAUCUACUUGUUCACUUUUAACAGGUUUCAUUGAAUUUUCUUGUUUCAGAUUUGUAGCCAGUGAUGGAUAGGUUGUUCCCAGUGGAGUAGACUGUUGCAUUUCCUCCUUUUCACCCACAUACAUAGGAAUUACAGGUGCCUCCUCAUCAAUUCCAAGUGAACGGCCAUCUAAUGUCUUUAGUCUCCUCAAUGUGCUUCUGUUGUUGCAUCUAACAUAGUCUUCCCGGAAUUUAUCAUUCUUGUUCCAAAGGUCCAUGAAAGUCUCCACCUGAUAAAAAAAAAAACUUGCUAAUGUAAACCAGAGGAAAGAAGAUAAAUUUUUUCCUUUAACAAACAGGGUAAGCCUGACCAACCUGAUUAGAGCAAAGACGAUAAAGUGCCUCUUUAUUUCCACUCAGUGCAUAAUCAUUAGCUGCCUUUGCUUCAUCCUUGUACAUCCAGAAAUUCUUGCUCUGCAAUGUAAUUACUUCUUAUCAAAUGCUGCAUUAUACUGCUUUUCAGCAAUGUGUUGCUUUAGUGAAUAUAUCUCUGUUAUUGUAUUGCUUCUGCUGCUUUUUUUUGUACUGAAACAGAUUGUACUAUCUAUGUAUAUGACGCAGUGACAAAACUCCAGCAGUCCAACCUGAUCUAUGAGCCAUUCGUUGGCCCUCAUAUUAAUAGAUGGUAUAAUAACGCAUUCUCCGUACGACAUUUGGUGUUGCCAAAAGGAGGACAACAUUUUCGGAUAUCAUAGACUUAGCAUAAAAACAUUUACAUAUCAUUGAUAGGGUCUAUUGCAAUCCAAUGGAGAACAAGUAGACCAACAAAAAAGCAAUAUAGAAAUAACUAAUAAGUAUCACAAAAUAAAGAGAUGCAACUUAAGAUACUGGAACAAACCUUCUCAUGCAGCUGCCUUUUCAAACUAGAGAAAUAUUUGUAUGCGUCUUGCCGAACAUCAUUGACAGCUCUGAACUGAGCCUGCAAUUCUUUUAGCCUUAUACUUUCACCAUUAUACUCCUUUCCUAACAGUAUGACAGCAGCUUCAGCAUCAGAAACCUUGGCCUUCAGAUCACUUAGAUCCCUCUUCAAAGUCUACAUAUAUCAGCAAAAAAGAAGAAAUAGUAUAUUAGCAAAAGAAUAAUGCUCCGACUUCUGCCUAUAAGAGUAAUUGCUAAUUGAUAAAUGGGAACCAGGAACAAUUAAGUGAGAAAACUAAAGCUCCAACCGGGUUGAUUUCGGAUGUAGAUUUUAAACAUUUUACCUUUCUCAAUUUGAUGUGAUGAGCUAGCGAAAUCUGCAUACUGCUUGUUCAUUAAGGAACAACAGAGACACACAUACCUUUAGCUGCAUUUCCAUGGGUUCUAUCUGACCAAAAGCUUGGUUAACUUCGUCCGCGGGACAGACAUUGGAAGAAAUUUGAUCUCGUAGCUUUCUCAAUGUAUUAAUUUCACGUAGCAACUGCUUUUCCUCCUUCAAGGGAUUGGUCUCAUGCUCUAUCAUGUGUUCCAUAUGCGCUAUCUGAAAAAAACCCAUUAAAUAAGCUAUAAUUGGAUUCAAGUUGUACAUAAUGCCAGUUGUUUUCAUUUUUAGCAAUUAGUUGGAAGAAAUAAAAGUCAUCGUAAGAGCAAAUGCUUACCCUGUUAGUAAUAUCUAUGACUGAAAUCGAGUUCUUCACUCUAUUUAUAUCAUCUUGAAUGGAAUCUAUUUCCUGUCUUUUGAGCUUAACUGAUCUCCUUGCAGCUCUCUCAUCUGAUUUAGUAGCUUCAUAUUUAUAAUUAAUUGAUUGGAGCUUGGCCUGUUCAUUGAACAUUAGAUUGGUUACAACUCAAGAUAUAAUUAUAUCAUAUACAAUAAAAAAUAUCUAGUACGUACCUUUUUCAUAUCAAUUUCACGUCGUAUAUCAUCUCUUUUACUUGUCUUCUCAUCAACCAACAGCUGAGCAUCUUUUAUUUGUUGUCGAAGCUUAUCAUCAUCAAAUCUGGGAAGUCUGACAAGAAAUUGGAAUGGCUUUGCCUUGGCCACAAAACCCAAAUUUUGUCCAUUUACAGAAUCACUACUUGAAGAGUCCAGCAAAGGAGCAGGUCCAACAUUAACUGGUCCACUUGGAACUUUAGAUUCAGCUACAGUUGCAUCUUUAGCAGGCACAUCAGAAUGGUACUGAACGCCAGUUUUAAAAUUCAUAUCCACAUAACUAUCAGACCCAGAAUUCAUUGUUAAGUCCGCCCUCCCAGUAUUUUCACUUUCACCAUCUGAGAUUUGGGAUUUGGAAAGCACAUCCACAUCGCUUGAUUUGGAAAGUAAUUCUGCUGAAUCAAAAGUACCAAAUUCAAUCUUCAUCGCAGAUAUCCCAUCAUUAGAAUGGCGACUAGAAACACAAUCAGAAAUAUCAGAAUGUGUUCCAGUCGUAGCAGAGCCGGUCUUCACAUCUUCUGAGUCAAGAUUCUUAGUUUCCAAUUCAGACUUCUUUUCAGUGACUGGAAAAGCCAGAUUUCCAACUUCUGGUCCUCCUGCACUGCCAUUGGAAUCAGACUGGAAGCCUCCAUCACCUUGAGCUUGCAUUACCAUACCAUUGCAUUGAGCAUCAUCAGAAUUUCUGUUCAGCUCAAGUGAAUUUGCACAACUGCCUAUCUGUUUAUCGAGAUUUGUCUGUAAGGUGAGAGAUUCAUUUGUCAUUGUCCCAUCACCAUUCGUCACCUGGAUAAAUCCGGAUGGCUCAAGUUCUACCGUCGCACCAUCGUUUGUACCAGCAUUAAUGCCUUCACCACAGUUCACUGGCACCUUUUCUAUUGAAGAAAUGCUUCCAGCAUUUGAAGGAGUUGAAUCUAGUUUGUUGACAGUUUGGCUCUCGUCAAUGCUUUCUCUCGAACCUUCGUAAUCAUCUGCAGAAGCCAUGGAUAUUCCUUUAUUAGCUACUGCAUUAAUAUCAUUAUUCAACUGAAUUCCUCCCUCAAUAUCCCAAUCCAGAUCCUUCUCAGUUUUAAACUUGUCGCCAUCCUCAAGUUCAUUGAACAAACAAUCAACAGAUUCUGUGAUCCUCAUUUGCGAUCUCAAAUUGUCUUCUCCUGAUUCUAACUCAGCUUGCUCCUCAGGCUUUCUAUCAACACUGCCAAAUUCAGUCCCAGACUCGACCUUCGGCGGUUUACAUCCAACAGCAUCCAGAACAACAGUGUCGGAUUUCUGACCAAUAACUGCAGGCGAGACUAUGACAUCUUGCUGCACAGCCCUUGCACAGUUAUCAGAUAUUUCAUCAUCCUCUGCAGAUUUCAUCACCGUAACCUUGCCCUCUCGUAGCUCUACAUCAUUAGCCAGAUAAUUGAUUUGCUCUAACUUGGCCUGAUCUUUUCCAACAUCAGAGGACACACAAUCAACAGAACUUGUGACACUAAUUUGAGGUUCCAAACUUUCCUCUGGUAACUUUUUCUCAGUUCGCUUCAUCUGUCCUUCCCCAACAUCAACCUCAUAUUCAUGCUCAACCUUCGCCAAUUCACAUCCAUCAGCCCAAAAAACAACAGCUUCAGAUUUCUUAUUCUCUCCUAUAUCUGCAGAUGGCAGUACAACAUUUUGCUCCACAGACUUAACGCUGUUCUCAGGUAAUUCACGAGCCAAUACUAAUCCAAUCACUUCCCCCUUCCUCUCUCCAAACUCUCUAUCAGUGUCAGUCAGAGACUCUUGAUUCUCUAUCGGCUCAGUAGUAGACUCAAAGUCAGCUUGAUCCUCAGCCUUAACCUCACAAGCAGGCUGGCCAUCCUCUACCUCACCUAUACUUCCAGUCUCAGCAAACAAUUCACCAUGCAAAGCCACAUCUUUAUCAGUCACCGUCGAUAACCCACAAUUAUUCUCCUCUUUCAAAUAAUCUUGAUCAUUAUCCCCAACCCCAACAACCCCUUCCCUAUUUUCAACUUCUACACCACUCUCAUCCUUCAAGCCAACUUGAUCCUUAACUUCCCCCUCACAAUCAUUCCUCCCAUUUCCAACAACUACUUCCCCAUUUUCUACCCCGACACCGCUCUCAUCCUUCAAGCCAACUUGAUCCUCAACUUCCACCUCACGAUCACUCCUCCCAUCUCCAACAACUACUUCCCCAUGUUCGAGCCCGACAACACUCUUAUCCUUCAAACUAACUUGAUUCUCAACUUCCACCUCACGAUCAUUCCUCCCAUCCCCAGCAACUACUUCCCCAUUUUGAAGCUCGACACAAGUCUUACCCUUCAAGCCAACUUCCACCUCACGAUCAUUCCUCCCAUCCCCAAAAACUACUUUCCCAUUUUGAAGCCCAAGACAAGUCUUAUCCUUCAAGCCAACUUGAUCCCCAAAUUCCACCUCACGACCAUUCCUCCCAUCCCCAACAACUACUUCCCCAUUUUGAAGCCCGACACCACUCUCAUCCUUCAAGCCUCCUUGAUCCUCAACCUUCACCUCACAAUCAGCCUGUCCAUCGCCUACUACACCGACACCUCCAUUCUCAACAACCAAUUCACCAUGCAAAGCCCCACCUUUAUCCAUCACCGCAGCCAACACAUGAUCAUUCCCCUUUCCCGCAAACUCUACGUCAUCUCCCCCAAUCCCAACAACCACUCCCCCAUUCCCCACUCUCCCAUCACCAUCCUUCAAAAACACCCCCUCUUUCACCUCCACAUUACAAUCCCCACCACCAACAGGAUCACCACCGCCAUUUACCUUACUGACAAAAACAUACGAACCACCAUCACCACCACACGCAUUGCCAUUCCCUUUACAGUCCACAAAGUCAAUCUUGGUCCCACCAAAAUCUCCACCGACUUGGGUCAGAUCCUGGUGUGAACUCAAUUCCACACCACCCGUUAAGCCCUUUAAACCCACCAUAUCAUCCCCAGUACCAGCCAUCAUUUAAACCCACAAUUACAACACGAUCACACAGUUCUACGACAAAACAAACGCGCACAAAAAACCCCAUAAAUUAUCUUCCUCACAGAUCCACAAAAACAUAAUAAAAUCACAUAAUUACAAAACCAAAACACGUGCAUUGUACCUAAAAAACAGUGUCACAGUAUAUAAAACAACAACACGCACACACAAUCAAAAAUUUUAAUUGAAUUAACAUACCUGACUCCUUGUGAUCAGCAACAGAGCCCCUGAUCAAAAUCAAAGAGUGCACCAAAUUAAAACUGCAAUUAGGGUUUAAUAAUUGGGAAUGAGAGCUAAGCAAGACAAGAAGCGAGAAUUAACAACUGGGAAUUUUUUGCUGCUUGUGUUGUGUGAAAAGGCUGAGGGAUAGUGACGAUAUAUAUAGGAGUCUUGUAGAUGUAAUUAGUAUCCUAUUGUUCAAACAAUCCUCCUUACCGUGGCCAUAACAUUUACUGCUGUAUCCUCUUUUUAUCUCCAGAGAUUUUGUUGAACACAUAGUCAAAUUUUUAGGUGGGGAGUGCCACAUUUUUUUUUUUAUUAUUUUGCCACACCAAUUUAGCAAAUUCAUUCCCUAAUUGGGUAUGCAUAAUAAUCAUAGAUGUAUUCUAAUUUCAAGAUUACCAGAGGGGAGAAACAACUAAUUUUUCAAUGCUUUUUAAGAAAUUUUGAUGAGAUGUUAAUUAGUUAAGUAUGUGAAUUAAUAAUUGAUAUUCUUGUGUUUUUGAAAGAAGGAUUUCGGAAAUCCGAUACGGAAAUUGGUAUCAAAGACGAUGACCUAAUCUGGUAUCUGACAUAAUUUGGUAUCAGAGACGUAAAAUAAUAUGUUGUAAAAAUAAUUAAAUGAUCAUUAUAUUUAAAAGCGUCUCAGAUAGAUAUGAACAAACCUGACAUUCGAUAAUACGAUCAUCGUUUUGAAUUUCACGAACAUGAAGUAGGGUGAUAAUCGCCCAUACAUGAUUACUGUAUCCAUAAAAUAUGCCUCAAAUAUGCCUCAUGUCUUUUAAUAAUAUUCAAUCGUAAAGAUUGAAGCGAACCAUCGCUUUCAAGCUUGAAAUUCGUGUUACAGUUCGAACAAUACCUAAUGAAUAUGGACCGAGAACAGAUUCAAUCGAACAAUAUAUAAUAUAAAUCGAACAAAUAAUACGAAAUAUAUCUGUCAUUGAAAACUGUUACAAAAUUUUAUAAGUAUGAUUUCGACUAAAUUGAUCAAGUUUUUUGCAAUUGAACAUUUACAUGGACAACUGAUUAAUCAUUCAUAGAUGCUAAUAUAUUUGCGAAUCAAAAUUCUUGUUUAGUAAAUAUUAUUACUUAAUAUGACACACAAUUUAUAAGAAAAUCAGUAAAUUAUUGCAUAAAAUAAAAGGUUGAAAGGUCGAUCAUUACCUAUGUAUUUCUGAUUUUUUUUGCCGAUCGACUUGAACGAACGGUGAUAUAUUUCUGGUGCCGGACAUUGUUAUCGGAUAUAACUGAUCGAGCAGAGUAAUAUUUUAGUAUCAGGAAGAAGAAAGUCAGGGUAUAUCGAUAUGUGAAUAACCAAGAGUGUAUUUAUAUAGCAUGAUACCUUCGAAAAGUAUAUUAUUUUUUUAAUCGUUAAAAUAUAUUUUUAUUUAUUAUAAUUGAAGAGUAAAAAUCAUCUAAUAAUUACUCUCUCCGUCUCUCUCAUUUCUUUACACUUUUUUUUACAUUAUCCGACACGCAUUUUCAGGGGCAUAUAAAAUAUGGUUCCAAAAUUUUUUUUUGGAAAUUUUCUUUUUAUGUAUAAAAAUUUAGAUGGUAAAUAUUUAUUCAGAAGGAAAAUAAUUCAAAAUAUUUAUCAAACUAAAUUUAAUGAGGGCAUUCGAAUGCGUGCCGAGCCCCGUUUCCCAAUGUAAACAAUUGAGGGGAACGAAAGGAGUACAAACUAUCAGUUUAAUAAAAACAUUUGCAAAAAAAUCAUGUUCGAACUUCUUUCGGAAAUAUAUUUGACACCAAUUUUUUGCGCAAACUAAUUUUUUUUAUGUAUUUAAACAUAUAAAUUUAGACAAUUAUGUGAUAUAUUAAAUUAGAUUUAGAUUCAAUAUUUUUUAUAAUUUAGGUUGAUACAAAAGAUUAAUAUAUUUCAAAUAAUUCUAUAUUUUAAUAUAUAAAAAAAAUAUAAAAUAAUAAAAUAUAACAAUUUUAGAAUUACUAUUAACAUAGUCUUAAAUUUAUAAUAUGUUAUUGAUUACCUUGUUUAAAAACUAAUUUUUUUAUUAUUAUUUGAUCUAUUGUCUUUACAUCCUUAUGUUAAUUUAAAAUUACUUAUGCAUUAUAAUUUAAUUUAGUCUAAAUUGAAAGAUAUUGUCAUUGUCAAAUACUUAGUUCAAGAGUGUAAAUAGUAAAAUUUGUUGUGUGCUUAGUAACAUGUAUUUAAUGUAUUAUAAUUAAAAUUAUCUACAAGUAAUCUUUUUACUGGAUAUUUUAAUGUAUCUCGUUAUCUGAAAGUAACUGUUGUAAGAUCAAAUGUUAUCUGCAAAUAUAAAUAUUUAUCAUAAUAUUAUAUUUAAAACUAUCUGCAAGCGAAUUUUUUAUAGUAAAUGUUAUGAGAUCACGAUGUUAUCUAUAAAUAUAAAAAGUCAAUAAGAUAUUGAAAAUUAUCAUAUAAUCUAUAGGAUAUUAUAAACAAUAUUAUCCUAUACAGUAUCUCCCACCUAACAACUAAAUUUUUAUUUCUAUGGAUAAACGUAUUUAAUUAUAUUAUUUUUUUGUUUCAUCUUUUGUCUAUAAAUACUGGUAUGCUAGUUUAUUUUGUUAUAUUUGGAUGAUGUUGAAUGUCUCUAUAGUUGUAUACACUCAUGAUCAGGGAUGACAACGAGUCGGAUAUCGAUCGAUUUUAGCUAAUUCAAAUAUUUUUGUGUCUUAAAACUAAAUCUAAAUUCAUCGGAUUGCGGAUAAGUUAAAUUUCUUCGGGUUACAAAUUUUUAAAUAAUACAUGCAAGUACAUUAUACUUAAUAUGAGCAAUUAAUAACAUUUUUUGUUAUUCUAGCAAAUAAUAUAAUGUGUGUGUGUAACACAUAACAUUAUAAACAAAUAAGUUUAAUUGGUAAUAUAUGAAUUGUUCGGAAAUUAAAUUAUUAUAGUCAUUGAAUUAAGAACUAAAUGAUUUUUUUCAUGAAAUAAAAGAAUGGAAUAAUUUGAAUAUUGAUUAAUAUUGAAAUGGGGCAAGAAACGUAUUUAUAGUAUUUGUAUUGUAUCUAAAAUAUUAAUAUAUAAAUUAUAAUAUGAAUGUGUGUGUUUUAUCGAGUUUCGAUCGGGUUUCAGAUUUCGAUUCGGCACACGUAAGAUCCAAAUCAAAAAUAUCAGUUUCGGUAAUAUCCAAUCUGAUCGGAACGGAUCAGAUUAUUUUACCAUCUCUCGACGUGAUCAAUUGGUAAUAGGUUAACUUUAAUUAAUUUCAUCAAAUGAGUCAUUAUCAUCUUAUCCAGUGUCAUUAUCAAUUUCAUCGAGUGUGUCAUUAUCAUCUUAUCCAGUGCCAUUAUCAUCCUAUCCAUAAAUACAAUACAUUAAAUUGAUACACGUUAUAUAUAUAUAUAGAGAGAGAGAGAAAAUCAUUAUAUUUGAAAAUCACUAAUAUAUUAUUUUAAAUUUAAUUAUUUCAUUCACAUGCACUACUCAGAACUCUUAAGAUUUUAUUUAAUGAGGUUUAUAUUUAUAAAAAUUACUUGAUUUAAGAUCAUUCUCACAAACACGGUUAAAAUUUAUUUCAUUCAGUUUAGAUUAUAGUCUCAGUUUAAUAAGUGAAUUGUAAAUGAGAUGAGGAUUUAAGAGCAUCUUCGGUGGGUUCUUAAAACAAGAUCCUAACUCCAAAUUUAAAGAUGAUAUGAAAAAUUAUACUCUAAUGGGCUCCUAGCAGCUCUUUAAAAAUUUAAGAGUUUCCUCGUUCUCCUUUCUUUUAAAGAGCAUCUAGGUGCUCUUAACUUAUUUUCAUUGAAUAAAAUAAUCACUUCUUUCUAUUUUUAUUCAUGUCUCCCUAAUUCUCUCUCCAACUUUUCUCUCAAAUAAUAAUAAAAUAUGAAUAAAGAGUAGGAUUGGGGUUGUCACAAUAUUCAAUGUAUCAACUUACUACGAGCCACAUAUUAUAUUAUUUUUUAAAAAUAAUAAAAUCAUGGAUAUUAUUAUUUUUAAAAAAUAAAAAUAAUAUAUUAAAUAUUGAAAAUUCGGCUAAUCGAUCGUUUUUUCGAUUAAUUGUGAUUAAUAACCUAAUAACCAAAAAAUCGAAUUUCAAAAUUUUCACUAUCAAAAAUCGAACCGAAUUAUAUAAUUUGAUUAACCGAGCCGAAAAAAUUCAAUGAUUCGGUACGGUUUUCGGUUAACCGAACAAGCUCACCCCUGGAUCCCUAGAGAAGAUAAUCCGGGACAGAUUGUCAAUAUUUUAUUCCAUAGGAUACUCCUAAAUAGAUUGUCGGAGAAAGACCUAGAUUGAACGAGGCUAUGCUUACGUCACCAGUAAUUAAAGUGUGAAGCAGGAUUAAGGCGUGGUCUAAAUUUCCAUUUUGGGACCAAGGACCACAUCGCCUUUUCACGCUACAAUUUGACAUGCGAGUUUCGCUUUGUCCCACGUUCACUUGAUCAAAAUUUCAGUAACUUAUAUAAUCUAGCCUAUCUAGGCUAGGUAAGAGCAAAGGCGUGUUUCAUUUACCUUUUCCUCCCGUAACCACGCAUAUCCUCGAUAGUCAAUUCCGAAGGCAGCCACAUUUUUUCCUUGAAAACCAGUCCACCGAAUAUACAAGAUUUUAUUUUAAGAUUUUUUGACAGGAAUUUUAUUCUAAAUUGAACAAAGCUCAGAAUUUUUUUUAUUAUAUUAGUUUCGAUCGCAGAUUUUAAUCUUAUUCUAAAUUUGUCAAAUAUAAUUUUUAUUUUAAGUUGAAUAGGGCUCAUAAGUUUGUUUAUUAUACUGGUUUGAUCACAGAAUUUAAUUUCACAAAUAAAUCAUUGAGAAUAUCAAUAAUUGAAUUAAAUAUAUUCUAAUAUUAUUCAGACAAUGAUAACUACAUAUUCCGUUCUAGUGCCUCCUUCGCCGUGUACGAGUGUCUUGUAAUGUUGCUGAAUGAGAGCCUACUGAACAACACCGGUGGGAGAUUUGAGCCUCGCAACGCCUCUGACGUGAGAAUAAGUACGGGCGAUGGAAAAUAAACUAUAUAUGUGUGGUGGGUGAAGGUGUAUGCCUGCAGCAUAUAGUAGCUUGGAGUGUGAGAAAUACGAGUGUGUGGACAAAAUUUUAUAAUUUCUUUACUUUAGAAGGUUUUAUUUUAUUUAUCUAAAUUUUUUUUUUGACAGAAAUGCACUUGCCCGUAAUGAGAUACACCAAUACUUCGAGAAGUUUCCUUCAUUCAAAAAGCUUAUUGAACCGAAAGACAUGAAAAUGUCUCCGGAAGUUUAGACAAUAACACGUAAUGUCCGAAAAGAAAAACAUCCUAACUUGUAAGACCACGCUACCUAAAACAAAUACAAUCCAAUUAAUAACAAGAAAAUAAUAAUAAUAAAUUUAAUUAUUAAAAUGGGUAUAGUUCUCAUUCUCAAAAAAAGAUAAACCAAAAAUAAUUUAUCAAAAACAGAAGAUAAAUAAAAGAUAGAAAAAAAGUAUAUCUAACCAAAGGGAGACCCUUUGGCUAGAUAUAAAACAAGCUAUAUAAUUACUAAGAAUAAUUAAUAAUAUAAGUAAUAUAAUAUAAAACAUCUUCAAGAUAAUAUCUAAAAUUUUAGAAACAAAUUACAUAUAAUAAACAAGCCAACAAAAUGGCACCCAAUUGCCUUAGAAGGUUCUAUUUUGAUUCACUUUUUCUAAUCAAAUUUAAGUGGGAAAUCUUUUUUCUCCCCGGAACAUAAUAAAUAACAAUGAGCUAAAAUAUAAAAACUCAAAAUUUUGUUUUAGCAAAUAGUAUUUGUAUUUUUCAUAAUAUUUUCCUAAAAUUUAAUUUAUGAAUUGUAUCUGAUUUUGAUUUUAUGCGGAUUCUUGAUAAAAUGUCACAUAAUUGUUAUAAAUUUUCUAGGAUUUAAGCACAAUUGAUAUAAACCCAUCAUUUCACAAAAUCCAAAAAAUUCAUAUACAUAUGAUUACCAUCAGAUUUUAAUGAAUUUUAAACAAUCCCAAUUGAAUAUCAUCGAAUUUAUAAACAUAAUUUAAAUUUCUGAUUGAAUAUUUAUCGGAUUCUGUAACAUAAUUUAAAAUUUUAAUUAAAUAUUUCUAGAUUAUAAUGAUUUUUAAUCAAGUUCAAUUGAAAAAAUCUUUUUAAACACGAAUCCCCAGUAUUCUAAUAGGGUCAAGUUUAACAAUUUAUUCAGUUUUCGUAACAAAAAAUUGUGAUGGGUCAGCCUAGUAAAGGCAAGUCCAAUACUAUGUUGCAGGAAAAAGUCGGGAAGAAAGUGUGUAAUUUUCGCAAUAUAACAAAUGAAUCUAUGGGCUUUUAAAAGUACUGGAAGCUUAUACUUUACAAACGGGUGGGCUGACUGCUUAGAUACAUACAACAACUACCUUGUACGUAUCGCCGUCCUAGUGUAAUAUUACAAACUGCCUGUAUAUAAAACCUCAAACACACAACAGAAGAAAAUAUUGUUUGGUUUGUUUCUAGGUAUAUCGAUUAUAUUAAACGUUAAUAAAAACAAAACGACGUCGGAGAAUCGCGUUAUGGAUUCAGAUUUUGGUGUCCCGAGAGAGCUUUCUCACUUGCAGAAGCUCCGAUCUCAAUAUCAGCCGGAGCUUCCGCCGUGCCUGCAGGUAUUUUUUAAUUAUUUUUUGUAUUUAUCAUCUACAAUGCUGAAAAAUUAUCAGUUUUUUUUGGGUGUUUUUUAAAAGUUGUGAUCCCUACUUUGUUAAUGCUAAUAUACAUCUGAUUGGUUGUUUGUGAAUAUGUACUUGAUUUGUUUUUAUUAUUGUUGAUAUAUAAGUGAGAUUUUAGUUUAAGUUUGGGAAUAUAGUGUUCUAGAGUGAAGGGGUAGAUCUCAGGUGUUGGAUCAUGGGGAUGUUGUGGGUUGUUGGCCGGCUUCUUGAUUUUAAUGCAAUGUGUUUACAAUGAGUAUGAGUUAAGAUUUGGAUAGUUGUGAUUACUAGAAUAUAUUUAGGAAUGGGGAAACCGGAAAAGGUUGGAUCACCUGGCAUUUUCGGUUGGUAUUGUUAUUGACUCGUUAUGGCAAGAACAUAUCUCACUAUGCUGAGUGUUCUUUUGCCUUGUGAACUUGUGAACUAAAGUUCUGGUGAAGCGAAGCCAUGUUGGUCAUCACUUCUUGCUAAUAUACUUUUAUGUGGCAUUUUAUUGAAAUUUUCAGAAAAUGUUGCUCGGCUCCUUGCUGUUGAUAAUUUGUGUUUAUGUGGACAUAAAUAAUAUCUGACUCUGCUUUGUAAUUUACAGGGAAAAAGCGUGCGGGUAGAGUUUAGUGAUGCCACUGCUUCUACAGAUCCCUCUGGUGCUCACACCAUAAGUCGAUCCUUUCCGCAUACAUAUGGUCAGCCGUUGGCUCAUUUUCUUAGAGCAAGUGCCAAGGUUCCUGAUGCUCAGAUAAUCUCCGAGCAUCCAGCAGUUAGGUAUACACCUGAAUUGGAUUUCAUUUUUCUUUCAGUUGACUUGCACAACAGGCCAUCCUAGCUAAAAGUAUUCGGAUUGGAGUACCCAGUCAGAAAAACUUUUUUCUAGUUUAAAUCUGCAUAUGUAUAAGUAUUUAACUUGCUGUUUAAGUUUGUGCAAAACAAAUUUGAUUUUAUAAUAGAAUCGUUUUGCUCAGAUCUCGUUAUGUUCCUGUAAUGUGUGCCAUAACAACAAUAGACAGUGUUGGUAUCAUAAAGGUGAGGAAGAAUCUUGUAUCUAGUUGUAUACUCAAACUAAUAUUUGUUAUAAAUCUCCUCAGGGUUGGAGUGGUUUUCUGCGGUAGACAAUCACCAGGAGGACAUAAUGUCAUAUGGGGUCUUCACAAUGCUCUUAAAACUCAUAAUACCAGCAGUACUUUGCUCGGGUUUCUGGGUAAGUAUUCUGCCUCUUCUGUUCAGCACAGCUCUUAAAAUUUUCAAAAUCCGUGCAUUUAGAAAUUGACUUCAAAUUUCUUCGUUGCACUCCAUUGUAUAGAUCAAUUUUUCUUGCUGCAAAUGAGCUUGAGUUGUCCAGUAUCACUUCCAUUAUAUUAUUUGUUUGAGUUAUGUGGAGUUAGCAGAAGAGACCUUUCUGCAAUUCAUAUACAAACUUAAAGACAUUUUCAGUAUCAAUUAAAGGCUCAUUGUUAUGAGUUUGGAGGUUAUGUCUCCAGAAGAAGGAAUGAGUUUGAAGUUUUUUUAACUGUGAGAUUGCCUUUCUGUUCCAUACCAGGUGGAUCUGAAGGUUUAUUUGCACAAAAGACUCUUGAAAUCACCGAUGAAAUACUGGCAACUUAUAAAAAUCAAGGUAUCAGUAGAAUGAUGAUUUAAUAUUAAGAUGAAAACAAUAAUUAUUUAAUAUUAAGAUAAAGAUCUAUUUAGAUUCAAUUCACUUAUACUUUCUAAUCCUGUGAAGGUGGUUAUGACUUGCUCGGAAGGACAAAAGAUCAAAUAAGAACAACAGAGCAAGUAACUGCUGCAUUAUCAACAUGCAAAGCUUUAAAGUUGGACAGCCUUGUCAUUAUAGGGGGUAAAUUAGCUUCUCUCAUCUCCUCUUGUCCUCCUUUUCUCCUCCUCCUCUAACAAGACAGUUUUUAUACUGUAAUAGGGGUAACAUCAAACACAGAUGCUGCGCAGCUUGCAGAAACUUUUGCAGAAGCAAAAUGCCCAACAAAGGUACUUUUCUGUGCAUAAGGCAUCAGUCUGCAAUCAGGAUAAUCUUCAUUUAACUUUACGUAAACGUACCACAGAUUGCGCUUCUAUGAUUCGAUGGUAAUUGAUUAUGUUUGAGAUCUGCAGGUGGUUGGGGUUCCUGUUACAUUAAAUGGGGAUCUCAAGAAUCAGUUUGUUGAAGCAAAUGUUGGAUUUGACACUAUCUGUAAGGUGCAGCUAGUCUUUAUGUUGUGACAGAUUAUGUUAUUUGCUUCUCAUUGUCAUCCUCUCUCAGAGGCUUACGAUGUCAUAUUCUGUUCAUAACAUUGGUGAAUAUUUGUUAAGUUAAAUUUUUUUCUGGUAUACAGGUCAAUUCCCAGCUUAUUAGCAAUGUCUGCACUGACGCCCUUUCAGCGGAGAAGGUAUAUAUCCCACGUCCAUACAAGGAAUUUGACUGCCAACCUUUACUUAUCCUCUUUAUAUUAUUCUACUAAAUAAUCUGUUGUUCAUGCACUUUAUUGGCUAACUAGGUUUGUUUCUGCUUUUCUAAACUCAACUGAGCGACCUUUUAUUUCUCCUCAGUAUUACUAUUUCAUCAGACUCAUGGGCAGGAAGGCAUCACAUGUUGCUCUGGAAUGUACUCUCCAGUCACAUCCAAACAUGGUCUGCCUUUUACUCUUAUACUUUAAUAUUUAUAAUGCUUUCAGGUUCUUGUAGAUGGAUGCUGAUUUAUUAUUUGCAGGUUAUUCUAGGUGAGGAGGUGGCUGCAGAAAAACUCACUCUUUUUGACCUUACAAAACAACUAUGUGACGCAGUGCAAACCAGAGCAGAGCAAGGUGAGAAUAUCAUAUUCCCCUCUGUGUUUUAUGAUGCUUAUCAUCCACUUAAUAUAAUUUUAUUUGAACAGACAAGUACCACGGAGUUAUCCUACUACCAGAGGGUCUCAUAGAAAGCAUUCCUGAGGUUUAUGCUUUAUUGCAGGUAAAGUCCAAUAAGUUUUACAUUGUUUGGUUGCUAUUCAACUUUCCAAGUAUUGUAUCUUAAAAUUUUGUUCUCCCAAGAAUUCACUAAAGUGGUUAUUGGUGUGGUUUAACAUCUUAUUAUUACAGGAAAUUCAUGGUUUGCUCCGUGAGGGCCAUUCAGUCGAUAAUAUUUCCUCUAAAUUGUCACCUUGGGCAUCUGCCUUGUUUGAAUUCUUGCCUCUGUUCAUCAGAAAACAGGUCUAUAUUCUAAUUCAUGUUAAUGCGAAUUUUACUAUCUUCAUGCUGAGGUACUCAUUUUAAGUAGUUAUAUGGCAGUUGCUCCUCCAUCCUGAAUCAGACGACUCUGCUCAACUCUCUCAGGUAUUGGGAACUGUUGUUUUUGCUGUACUACGUAAAUUUAUUAUUCAAAUUAAGUAACUCUAAAUAUCUUUAAACCCUUUUAGAUUGAGACAGAGAAGCUUCUUGCUCAUCUUGUGGAAGAAGAAAUGAACAAGCGCUUGGUAUGUUAACCUUUCUGACAAAUGACAGUGUGAUGUUCAGGGACUCGCAUUUUACUCACUUUCCCAUAUGAAAAAUAAUAGCCCACUUCCCACUUUCUUCUCAAGUCUUUAUUUUUUUAUUACAUGAGAACACAACUACAUACUCUUUGCCAGGUUAUGAGAUGGUGUGCAAAGGGAACAUACUCAUUGUUCUGACUAUCAUUUUUUAGUAGUUAGUAGCGCUCUCUAAUUACAGUGGAUGAACAUUUUUAUCUUUUCCCAUCAGUUGCACCAUUUGUUUGGUGUGGAAAGUCCUCCAGACUCUUUGGCUAUUGGGCUGGUUUAGAAGUGCCGUAGGGAUGUGCAUGGCUUGUGCUGAUAGAACUUUAUAAGUUACUGAUCAGACACACACGGUCUCUUUAAUUUGACAUUUAUCUGCCCUCGGGCAAUGUUAUUGCUGAAUUUACCUUGACGUGAGUGUUCAAAGAAGCUGCGACAUUUCUUUUUAAGUAAGCAUUGUCGCAAUGGUCUAAAUCAAGAUUUUUUUAUUUUUUUUCUGGAAACCUUCUAGUAAUUCAUUGUUGUUCUUUUUGAAGUCUUCUCUAGUGGAAACAAUGCCUUAAAAAUUAGUAGUCUUUCCCGACGGACGUAUAAUACCGUCAGUGCUUACUGAAGUUCAGACAAACCUUAAAAGUAGUUUUCUGUUUUCCAAAUUUCAUUUAGAUUACUAUGAAAUUUUCUGGCUAACAUUUUAAAUAUGAUGCUGAUUUAUGUAGCAACUGCAAUUUUGUGUAUGCAUACUCAACUGUUUUUCAUUUAGAUCCCGUUUGAGUGCUUGUAAACACGUUUUCUUUCUCAAUCGAAUAAAGAAUUUAUCACAUUAUCAUCGAGUAAAACCUCAAUUUGGUGUUUCUUUUGUGAUCUAAACAG